This 429-nucleotide ribosomal RNA is filed under the name bacterium. Its description in RNAcentral is "partial 16S ribosomal RNA". It matches the Rfam family "Bacterial small subunit ribosomal RNA", at positions 355 to 776 of the family's 1533-position model. The record is from RNAcentral.
UAGGGAAUCUUCCACAAUGGACGCAAGUCUGAUGGAGCAACGCCGCGUGAGUGAAGAAGGUUUUCGGAUCGUAAAGCUCUGUUGUUGGUGAAGAAGGAUAGAGGCAGUAACUGGUCUUUAUUUGACGGUAAUCAACCAGAAAGUCACGGCUAACUACGUGCCAGCAGCCGCGGUAAUACGUAGGUGGCAAGCGUUGUCCGGAUUUAUUGGGCGUAAAGUGAGCGCAGGCGGAAUGAUAAGUCUGAUGUGAAAGCCCACGGCUCAACCGUGGAACUGCAUCGGAAACUGUCAUUCUUGAGUGCAGAAGAGGGGAGUGGAAUUCCAUGUGUAGCGGUGGAAUGCGUAGAUAUAUGGAAGAACACCAGUGGCGAAGGCGGCUCUCUGGUCUGCAACUGACGCUGAGGCUCGAAAGCAUGGGUAGCGAACAGG